This 368-nucleotide ribosomal RNA is filed under the name uncultured soil bacterium. RNAcentral's name for it is "bacterial SSU rRNA". It matches the Rfam family "Bacterial small subunit ribosomal RNA", at positions 26 to 391 of the family's 1533-position model. The record is from RNAcentral.
AGAUUGAACGCUGGCGGCAGGCCUAACACAUGCAAGUCGAGCGGUAGAGAGGUGCUUGCACCUCUUGAGAGCGGCGGACGGGUGAGUAAUGCCUAGGAAUCUGCCUAGUGGUGGGGGAUAACGGUUCGGAAACGGACGCUAAUACCGCAUACGUCCUACGGGAGAAAGCGGGGGACCUUCGGGCCUCGCGCCAUUAGAUGAGCCUAGGUCGGAUUAGCUAGUUGGUGAGGUAAUGGCUCACCAAGGCGACGAUCCGUAACUGGUCUGAGAGGAUGAUCAGUCACACUGGAACUGAGACACGGUCCAGACUCCGUACGGGAGCAGCAGUGGGGAAUAUUGGACUAAGUGGGACGAAAGCCUGACUCCAG